UUAAUUUCGACCGGGAGUAUCAAAUUUGACAAAGAGCUUUCAGCUCGAGUCCUUAUUUUCGAAUCUGUAAACAAGCCGAGUCAAGAUUGGUGAAAUUACACAAAGAGAAGAAUAUAAAUGUGUUAUCUGAUUCAGACCGCGGGUUCAUUUUUUGUAACACACUCGACAAAUAAACAAGAUUUGGCCCGGGGCUGGAAAGGGCAGAGCUUUCAUAAUUCCAUUGCUUAUUUGUUAACGCAGUCAUCUCGAGCGGAUCCAUAUUUACAUAUUUCCGCAUGUGUUAAUGUUUACCACUCAAACACAGCCGAGGGCUUUGAGAAUACGACAAAUACAGAUAGAUAGACCGUCAAAUUAGGUUACAUCUCUCGCAUGUUGCCUCUGAAAACAAUCAGCUAAGCUAAUAACACCCGCGCUGAGUUGACACAUUUUAAAUGUCACCGAAUCGUUGAAAUGUUUUUUCGGCACAAUCCCAGAAAAAUUCAAUAUGAAAUUUUACCACUCACCGGCAGGGAGCACGUCAUACGUGAGGGCUUCUCCCUAGAUGCGGUGAAUCUUUACAUAAAUAAUUUCAUCAAGCCUGACGCUGAAUUAAACAAGGAGGGCAAGAGCAAGAGUUGGGACGUUUUGACCACGGAACAAAAAUGGAAAAGCUCGCACUCUCAGGAAAGCAAUGAGGCGCGAAAACUGGCGACUUUUAAAAGGCUUAAGCGGAAAUUAGACACUAUUAGAAAUUUCUACCCGGAUAUUUAUUACAGCAAGCAGAGUGUUAUCGAUUUAUGGGCGAGACAUAACGAGUUGUAUCAAAUGGAUUUAGACGUUUUGGAAUAUGACAAGGAUUCACCCAUCUGGCUUUGGAUAUGAAAGCUCAUAAAAGCAUCUAUUUAAUGUACGAAAGCUCGCACAUAAACUAUGUCAGGAA
This is an RNA transcript of Tribolium castaneum (red flour beetle), 919 nucleotides long. RefSeq lists it as hypothetical. The record is from RefSeq and is a predicted model, not a curated record. The transcript has 2 exons. Lineage: Eukaryota; Metazoa; Arthropoda; Insecta; Coleoptera; Tenebrionidae.